This 520-nucleotide ribosomal RNA is filed under the name uncultured Glomus. Its description in RNAcentral is "SSU rRNA". It matches the Rfam family "Eukaryotic small subunit ribosomal RNA", at positions 569 to 1092 of the family's 1831-position model. Lineage: Eukaryota; Fungi; Glomeromycota; Glomeromycetes; Glomerales; Glomeraceae. The record is from RNAcentral.
AGCAGCCGCGGUAAUUCCAGCUCCAAUAGCGUAUAUUAAAGUUGUUGCAGUUAAAAAGCUCGUAGUUGAAUUUCGGGACCAUCAUAUCGGUCGUGCCUCGGUACGUACUGGUAUUGUUGGUUUCUCCCUUCUGACGAACCAUGAUGUCAUUUAUUUGGUGUUGUGGGGAAUCAGGACUGUUACUUUGAAAAAAUUAGAGUGUUUAAAGCAGGCUCACGCUUGAAUACAUUAGCAUGGAAUAAUGAAAUAGGACGUUUGAUUCUAUUUUGUUGGUUUCUAGGAUCGACGUAAUGAUUAAUAGGGAUAGUUGGGGGCAUUAGUAUUCAAUUGUCAGAGGUGAAAUUCUUGGAUUUAUUGAAGACUAACUACUGCGAAAGCAUUUGCCAAGGAUGUUUUCAUUAAUCAAGAACGAAAGUUAGGGGAUCGAAGACGAUCAGAUACCGUCGUAGUCUUAACCAUAAACUAUGCCGACUAGGGAUCGGAUGAUGUUAAUUUUUAAUGACUCAUUCGGCGCCUUAAC